This 422-nucleotide long non-coding RNA is filed under the name Capsicum annuum. Its description in RNAcentral is "long non-coding RNA (CANN_LNC017683)". Lineage: Eukaryota; Viridiplantae; Streptophyta; Magnoliopsida; Solanales; Solanaceae. The record is from RNAcentral.
AAAAAAUGGCCAUUCAACAAAGAUUUGAUUGGACUAGAAAGAUGUGAAACACGAACCGCCAAUGCUUAACCGCAUCCCAUAGCGGUUUGCCAUUCAUUCAUGAACUGGCACUGGCUUUCUUUUAUCUAGUUCAAACGAUUCCUACUGACUCUUCUUUCACACUUUCCAGGAAAUUCCAUAACCCCCAGGAAUAAAGGACACUCAAUCAAGAUCUCUUCUAAUUUCAUAACGGCACCCGAAGCUCAUUGGGCUUUCAGAGGCAUAACAGGGAAGAGCGGACCAGCUAAACUCACUGCAAAGAAAGCAGUCGCAGCCGGGGAUCUCUUUUUUUUGCUGGAUGUAGUGUUUGCGCACCAACAGGAGUCGGGCCUUGGUUGUUUCAGUACAUUCAGUUCCAAGUCAAUGUUGUUCGCGUAGUUCGU